This 451-nucleotide ribosomal RNA is filed under the name uncultured bacterium. RNAcentral's name for it is "partial 16S ribosomal RNA". It matches the Rfam family "Bacterial small subunit ribosomal RNA", at positions 29 to 523 of the family's 1533-position model. The record is from RNAcentral.
AGCGAACGCUGGCGGCAGGCUUAACACAUGCAAGUCGAGCGGGUGUAGCAAUACAUCAGCGGCAGACGGGUGAGUAACGCGUGGGAACGUACCUUUUGGUUCGGAACAACCCAGGGAAACUUGGGCUAAUACCGGAUAAGCCCUUACGGGGAAAGAUUUAUCGCCGAAAGAUCGGCCCGCGUCUGAUUAGCUAGUUGGUGAGGUAAUGGCUCACCAAGGCGACGAUCAGUAGCUGGUCUGAGAGGAUGAUCAGCCACAUUGGGACUGAGACACGGCCCAAACUCCUACGGGAGGCAGCGGUGGGGAAUAUUGGACAAUGGGGGCAACCCUGAUCCAGCCAUGCCGCGUGAGUGAUGAAGGCCCUAGGGUUGUAAAGCUCUUUUGUGCGGGAAGAUAAUGACGGUACCGCAAGAAUAAGCCCCGGCUAACUUCGUGCCAGCCGCCGCGGUAA